AAAUCCUAUUUUAUGGCUAAAGUAACCCAAAUUCAUAGCAAACAAAAUUAUAUAAAAUGUGUUUUGUUGCUGGUUAUAUACUUGCGAUUUUCUCACGAUUUUAAUGGUGACGAUACCAAUGUUUCAACUUGAAAUACUUUAUAGACGCUUUUCACAGCAGUUAUUUGGCCCUCGCAGGGAAACCAGGGCUAUAAUUAAAAUGUUCCAUUUAGGUGGGCGAGGACGCUGGUAUUGUGCCCGCUGACUCACUGGAGUGACACCAAAGAGAAUUGAACUGUGAUUCAUUUGAUCUUUUACACCUGUGUUGAAUGCGAGGAAGUGGAAAUUACUGCUGUAAAAAGGGCCCCGUCCCCGGGUUGUCACGAUUUGGUGUUUGCAAAAGUAAAAGAAAAGAACACUAGUGUUAUUGCGCCAAAUUGCUAAAUUUCAGUAAUGUUGGGCCCAUAUUGUUCGUCAAUGUUUUCCCUCUGUAAUAAUAUUAUCUGAAUUGUUUUAGGGAGACAGGAAAAGGUGAAAUGUAAGAGUGAAAAUGAUGUAUACUUCUAAGGUUUUGCACGUCUGCAGUAAGGUCAAAUAAGUGUCUUGUCAUAAAUGUCAAACCUUACUUUUUGCAGGGAUGGCUGUUCUGUUAAAGCAUAUCAAUGCGUGGACAUGUGCUCGGGUAAACUGGCUCAUGUUUGCAGAUCUCCCACUGAGCCGAGAGCUUCAUACGGAAAAAAUACACGCGGCAUCGCGAAGCCAGCUGAGAAAAAGAUGGGAACGCUCUGAGCUUUGUAGUCAUACAUUCACUUUAUAGUCAUACAUUGGUUCAACAAAUAAAACUAAAUCUAACAGUGUAAUCCAGCAACAAAAGAUGUUUUGCAUGUGUGUGACCACAGUGCUGACACGCAACCAUUAACAUCACUACUGGUCAGCGACUCAUACUAUCUAUACACAUGGACUUCAGCAGCACCUAUCCAAACUACUUACACACACACACACACACACACACACAGUCCUGUUUACAGGCCAGGAUACAGUCGCAUUUAGAAAGUAGUGACUUUCCCUUGAACAUCAGACAGGAUAUAAAUCAAACAGACCUGCUAGUGCCAGAUUUUGGUGUGCAGUGCAUGCUGAUACCCGUAUAGACGGGCUGAAGCUCCUACUUCUCACCUCCCAACCCUGAAUAUCAAGCCAUGCCACUUGCUUGUUGUGUUGUGCUUACGAUGGCAUGCGGAGGAUUGUUGUGUUGUAUGUUUUUGUGCAGUGAGUGCUUUGUCUUGAUUUACAUGGGUUUAAAGGUCAUAGAUGCACGCUGGUACCGUAAACGUCUUCAUUAAAGUCUAUUUUAUUUUGAAAA
Long non-coding RNA from Gasterosteus aculeatus aculeatus (three-spined stickleback), 1339 nucleotides. Lineage: Eukaryota; Metazoa; Chordata; Actinopteri; Perciformes; Gasterosteidae. The record is from Ensembl.